Long non-coding RNA from Asterias rubens (European starfish), 2315 nucleotides. RefSeq lists it as uncharacterized. The transcript is spliced from 3 exons. NCBI's taxonomy places the organism in Eukaryota, Metazoa, Echinodermata, Asteroidea, Forcipulatida, Asteriidae. The record is from RefSeq and is a predicted model, not a curated record.
UGUGUACGCAAAUGUAGCCCAAAGUGGCAAAUCCGAAGACAAUUCUAAAGACUGCGUCAGUUAUAGACUGGUUGAGCUUUGCGUGCACACCUCUCGUGUCAUGUGUGGUCUUCUGGACGAGAAAACUUCCAUUAAAAGCAACUCGGAUUGCUUCAAACUUCGUUUAUCUGACUACACGUGUACAUAUCGGAGUGUAUUAUUUUGAACUCCGCACCUCUCACGUUUUGGACGCAAACCAUUUUGUUCAUAUCGACUAAACGUGUGUGCAUCUAACUCUACAUCUUGUAACGCAACUGCCUUCACGAUGCUGAAGCUUGUUGUUCUUUUCGUAUUUUUAAUAACCGGAGCAUUUGUUGGAGGCUUCAUAUCUCCCCUCCUGGGAUUCCUGUCCCAGGGAACUGCAGCUGGAUAUACUGCGUCUUGGUGGCUGUAUCUCACGACUAUGGCAGCAAAACUGGGUGGUGUUGUUUCUAGUUAUGUGGUGUAUGUCCUUGUUUUACUCGGAGUGAGUAAGGUAAUGGCAAGGAUGAUACCUCUAAUAUGCAUACUUGGUUUCUUCAUCUACUACUAUCUCGAUUGGAUGCAAGGCACUGAUGAGCAAGAAUUAAAUUAGAUACAUCCCAACAUAUCAGGACGGGGGUGGGGCGCAAUAUAUAGCGCCUUAACUGAUCACAAAACAAAACACACCAUCCUUUCUGAUGAUUGGUAUGGGGUCUAUUGUGCAAAUAAACUUGUUAUCGGGGUAGCUGGUAUACCAUGGCAACUCUUUGUUUAACCCUUGACUUAAACGUUUGUGGUUAUUUGUAUAAUAUUUUCACCAAAGUCUUCAUUUUGUUUAUUUUACCAAGUGAUAGUGUCAACUGUAUUGUCAAUGUUCAAAAUGGCCGUCAUCACAUCCAGCAGCCACUUUGGGUUUGUCUUCUCAGCCGCUAUUUUGGGCUUUUUCCCCCUAAGAAAUACAGGCCCUCAUCGUUGCACUGGGGACAGAAACCCAAAGGUGGCGCUAUUAUGAAACAAUGCAGUGUGUAGUAAUAUAGGGGAACUCCUUUCUCACAACUUAAUACCCACAACAGGGUUGACCAAGUCUGGUUAUGUAUAAUAAUUAUAAUAGAAAACGUACGCCAUAAUAAAUGUAAAUUAACUAAUUUUCAUGAGAUCUUGAUGUGUCACUUUCUCCGGAUAUAAUAUAGCACAUGAGCAUGAUAAAAAUGGUCAGUGCAGAGGUCUUGUGGGUUAGAAUCUCGUCUGAGAUGCCUGUGAGUUUGUUUCAACAUGCCUCGGCAAAGUAUACGAGUUAUACAAUACACUGGACACACGGGUCAAAGACCAUUCUUUUCACCAUCAAUGUUUAGUAGCGUACAGUGCGCCACCAAAAGAUGGACCGUGGAGGUCAGUUUCAAAGAAGAACGACAAAACAGAUAAUAUACAAUAAAGAAUCCAACACAACUUGGGGGAAAUCAUUGAAGAUCCAUCGACAGAUCAUUACGUUAAAAAUAUAGAUGGGAAAAUUCAAACGUCUUUGUAACAUUAAUUACUUUUUUUGGAGACGGACUUAUUUAGUCGGAACUCACUCUAGUUCCCAUUUGCAUGUAACAGCUAAAUAGAAAUGUCCAUGGAGUUCAAAAAUAAAGUGGUAAACCUUUUAAAACGCGGCAAUACACUUAUAGAGGCCAAAUAGAUGCUCUUAAAACUAAUUUUUCAGAGAGAAAAACAUAUAAUUAUUUGUUUGCGUUUUGUGUACUGAUAUUUUGAGGGUGGGGUCGUGUCCACUGCCUUUAAAUAACAAAGUAGUCAACGACCUGACGUUUCGACACUAGAGUCCUAACUUGUAUUUUUAGCCGUUGAAAAAGAAACUUCUGGGUCGAAACGUAUACAAAAAACGGCCAAUAAUUGAUUGUUAUUGUUGAUUAUUAUUGUCGUUUUGAUUUUUGUUAAAUAAUUUAUUUAUUUAUUUUUUAUGAUUAUCAUUUUUGUGUAAACAUCCUUUAACAUUUUUGUGUUUGCAUGGUUACCCUCUUGGCAUGUCAUGACAGCUGCUUACCAUCAGAAUGAUUUGGUUACAGUGUUUUGUUCAGUAUACAAACAAAGACACGUAAGCUCUAAUUGGACGCUAAGCAUAAGCAGCUUCAGUGACAUUGGGCCAAGUAGUCUAAUUUAAAGUAAAGACAUUAAAACUUUAUUGUUUGAGCUAUUGAUCGUUAGAGGCUGCAUUUCCAAAAAAAAAUAAUUAUCUUGUGCAUUCUAUAAUUUGUAGCUACACUUCCAAUGAAGUUUACCAUGGGGGCAAUUAAAAUUAAGUUUCUAAAAGAAGAAAA